This 253-nucleotide ribosomal RNA is filed under the name uncultured bacterium. RNAcentral's name for it is "partial 16S ribosomal RNA". It matches the Rfam family "Bacterial small subunit ribosomal RNA", at positions 524 to 776 of the family's 1533-position model. The record is from RNAcentral. RNAcentral also lists the same sequence under 1 other name.
UACGGAGAGUGCGAGCGUUGUUCGGAAUUACUGGGCGUAAAGGGCGUCUAGGCGGCUUGCCAAGUCAGAUGUGAAAUCCCUCGGCUCAACCGAGGACGUGCAUCUGAAACUGGUGAGCUUGAGUACUGGAGGGGGCAGCGGAAUUCCCGGUGUAGAGGUGAAAUUCGUAGAUAUCGGGAGGAACACCAGUGGCGAAGGCGGCUGCCUGGCCAGAUACUGACGCUGAAGCGCGAAAGCGUGGGGAGCAAACAGG